ACGAACGCUGGCGGCGUGCUUAACACAUGCAAGUCGAACGGUGAACUUGGGAGCUUGCUCCUGGGGGAUCAGUGGCGAACGGGUGAGUAACACGUGAGCAAUCUGCCCUUGACUCUGGGAUAAGCGUUGGAAACGACGUCUAAUACCGGAUACGAACUUCCCCGGCAUCGGGAGGAGUUGGAAAGAAUUUUGGUCAAGGAUGAGCUCGCGGCCUAUCAGCUUGUUGGUGAGGUAAUGGCUCACCAAGGCGACGACGGGUAGCCG
Molecule: ribosomal RNA, 264 nt
Filed under: Microbacteriaceae bacterium ISO214_OTU2509
Lineage: Bacteria; Bacillati; Actinomycetota; Actinomycetes; Micrococcales; Microbacteriaceae
Also listed under: 7 other names
Description: partial 16S ribosomal RNA
Rfam family: Bacterial small subunit ribosomal RNA
Source: RNAcentral